This 77-nucleotide transfer RNA is filed under the name methanotrophic bacterial endosymbiont of Bathymodiolus sp. RNAcentral's name for it is "tRNA-Arg". It matches the Rfam family "tRNA". From Rfam's summary of the family: Transfer RNA (tRNA) molecules are approximately 80 nucleotides in length. The record is from RNAcentral. Lineage: Bacteria; Pseudomonadati; Pseudomonadota; Gammaproteobacteria.
UCUGCCCGUAGCUCAGUUGGAUAGAGCAUCGGCCUUCUAAGCCGAGGGUCGGGGGUUCGAACCCCUCCGGGCAGGCC